This 1471-nucleotide long non-coding RNA is filed under the name Zea mays. RNAcentral describes it as "long non-coding RNA (ZMAY_LNC002905)". The record is from RNAcentral. Lineage: Eukaryota; Viridiplantae; Streptophyta; Magnoliopsida; Poales; Poaceae.
CAGAUCACAGGAUAGCAGUGGCACACAAGCCCGACGACGCCGCGCCAGUAGAGCGUCUAGUACUCGUCACCCUCGUCGCCGUCCUCACCCUCGUCAAACUCAGCACCGACCUCCUCGUAGUCCUUCUCAAGCGCCGCCAGAUCCUCACGAGCCUCGGAGAACUCGCCCUCCUCCAUACCCUCACCGACGUACCAGUGCACGAAGGCGCGCUUGGCGUACAUGAGGUCGAACUUGUGGUCAAUGCGGGAGAAGACCUCCACAACACUGGUGGAGUUGGAGAUCAUACACACGGCACGCUGCACCUUGGCCAGAUCACCGCCUGGGACGACGCUGGGAGGCUGGUAGUUGAUUCCGCACUUGAAGCCAGUCGGGCACCAGUCCACGAACUGGAUGGUGCGCUUGGUCUUGAUUGUGGCCACAGCAGCGUUCACGUCCUUGGGAACCACAUCACCACGGUACAUGAGGCAGCAUGCCAUGUACUUGCCAUGGCGGGGGUCGCACUUGGCCAUCAUGGAGGAUGGCUCGAAGGCGCUGUUGGUGAUUUCAGCCACGGACAGCUGCUCGUGGUAGGCCUUCUCAGCAGAAAUGACUGGAGCGUAGGACGAAAGCAUGAAGUGGAUCCUCGGGUAGGGCACCAGGUUGGUCUGGAACUCGUUCACAUCAACGUUCAGAGCACCAUCGAACCUCAGGGAAGCCGUCAGGGAUGAGAUGACCUGAACAACAUCAGUAAGAGCCAAUGGUUAGACAAAAGCCAAGAAUACAAAUCAGACUGAAUCCAAAGCCAGUACAGUACACAGAGACAGUACCUGGGAGACAAGCCUGUUGAGGUUGGUGUAGGUUGGGCGCUCAAUGUCAAGGGAGCGGCGGCAGAUGUCAUAGAUGGCCUCAUUGUCGAGCAGGACAGCAACAUCAGUGUGCUCGAGGAGAGAGUGGGUGGACAGGACACUGUUGUAUGGCUCAACCACGGAUGUGGACACCUGGGGGGAUGGGUACACGGUGAAACCGAGCUUGGACUUCUUGCCAUAGUCAACAGACAGGCGCUCCAGGAGGAGAGAACCAAGCCCAGAGCCCGUUCCUCCACCAACAGCGUUGAAGACGAGGAAGCCCUGGAGACCAGUGCAAUUAUCUGCAAGCUUCCUGAUGCGGUCAAGGCACAGGUCAACAAUCUCCUUGCCAACUGCAAGACAAGCAAAUCAAGUUUAAGUAUGGUUUUCAUUACAGAUUGAAUAUCUGGGAUCAAUGCCAACUUAAGAUCCGAUCAGAUUACUUACUGGUGUAGUGACCACGAGCGAAGUUGUUGGCUGCAUCCUCCUUGCCACUGAUGAGCUGCUCAGGAUGGAAGAGCUGGCGGUAGGUGCCAGUCCUCACCUCAUCGAUGACAGUGGGCUCAAGGUCAACAAAAACAGCACGGGGGACGUGCUUCCCAGCGCCAGUCUCACUGAAGAAGGUGUUGAAAGCAUCAUCACCUCCC